GACGAACGCUGGCGGCGUGCUUAACACAUGCAAGUCGAACGGAAAGGCCCUGCUUUUGUGGGGUGCUCGAGUGGCGAACGGGUGAGUAACACGUGAGUAACCUGCCCUUGACUUUGGGAUAACUUCAGGAAACUGGGGCUAAUACCGGAUAGGAGCUCCUGCUGCAUGGUGGGGGUUGGAAAGUUUCGGCGGUUGGGGAUGGACUCGCGGCUUAUCAGCUUGUUGGUGGGGUAGUGGCUUACCAAGGCUUUUACGGGUAGCCGGCCUGAGAGGGUGACCGGCCACAUUGGGACUGAGAUACGGCCCAGACUCCUACGGGAGGCAGCAGUGGGGAAUAUUGCACAAUGGGCGGAAGCCUGAUGCAGCAACGCCGCGUGCGGGAUGACGGCCUUCGGGUUGUAAACCGCUUUCGCCUGUGACGAAGCGUGAGUGACGGUAAUGGGUAAAGAAGCACCGGCCAACUACGUG
This 468-nucleotide ribosomal RNA is filed under the name uncultured bacterium. RNAcentral describes it as "partial 16S ribosomal RNA". It matches the Rfam family "Bacterial small subunit ribosomal RNA", at positions 28 to 507 of the family's 1533-position model. The record is from RNAcentral.